Molecule: long non-coding RNA, 4480 nt
Organism: Alosa sapidissima (American shad)
Lineage: Eukaryota; Metazoa; Chordata; Actinopteri; Clupeiformes; Clupeidae
Exons: 3
Source: RefSeq, a predicted model, not a curated record
AGCCCGGGCUCUUGUGCAGUCUGGUUCUGCCUCGUUCGUGGGCUUCGAGAGAGAGAGAGAGAGCUGACCCCCCCCGAGGAGAUUAAAGGAAGCGAAGCGCUCCCCAGAAAAGUGGCGUGGCUGCGGAGGAGAUCGGCUGCUUCGGAGAGGUGGGACGGUCCAGGCGAGACCUGCAGGUUCCACAGAUUACUAGAUGCCCAAAGACAGGUAGGCAAUGCCCCGCUUCACUUUUGCCUGCUUCUGUAGUCUUCACGGUCUCUGCAAGAGAAAGAAGAAAAAGAAAGAUGAAGAGAAAGAGGAGGUGGAGGGAGCAGAACGCCAGCAGCGCCAAGAGACAGAGGUGUGAUGGGCUGGAACUGCCCCGGGGGGCCAGACUGAGCUCUCUCUCCCUGGCAUGCCUUUAUCUGCCUAACUCAGUCCAAAUGCCAUGAGUCUAGUUCCCAAGGAGUGUGUCUGUGUUUGUGUUUGUGUGUGUGUGUGUGUGUGUGUGUGUGUGUGUGUGUUUGUGUGUGUGUGUAUUUUGCGUAUGCAUGCUGAAAAAUGCAAAAAUGUCACACUUGAUCACACAGGGUUGAAGUGUCUAGAAAUGGACUGUGAGUUGCUAUGGAUGUAAGCAUCCGUAAAGAAAUGGGAAGUGCAAAAGCAGUGCUGUGAGAGUAGAGAGCCCAGAUGAGAGUAGACCUGUGGCCCUCCACAAAAGGUUCCUAGUAUUACUCCCCCAGCACAAAUCACCCAGUAAGUGGACUGAUGAGGUGCCCCAGCAUGUACAGUAUACUGUAAUAGGUCAGAGCUUAUACUUAUACUUACUACUUACUAUAAGACUGUGCUUUAGGAACGCUCUAAAGCGUAAGGAUAUUAUGGAGGUAUUACAGAACUGCUGUAAUAGCUACUGUAAAUCUUAUAGUACUAUAUUUCUUUAUUGUGAGGGGCAAUACAGCCAACAGGGGUUGUGUUGGUGGGGAUAAGUCCUAUCCCUGCAGAAUGUGGGACUUUAUUAAAUGGGGGACCCACACCAGUCUUUCGGCUGACCCAGAAUGUUCAGUCAAGAGUAUUGGAAAACGUCGAUGGACAGAUUGAGUUCAGCAGGGCCCCAUCUCUCAGCUCUUCUAUUAGUGGAAUAAAAUUACACUCAGGAAGUCUUCAAGGUUUCAAGUAGUUCUUGGACACAGGUGGCCCAGUCCUACUGCUAAGGGAUGGAGAACUUUUGGAGCAUAAGUGAUUUAUGCAAUGAGCACCACCUGUCGGACUAACAACUUUAAUAGGUCAGCGAGCACGGGAUGAGCGCUGACCCUAGGUUUGGAUCCCACACGGUCGACUUGUGGUUCCAAAGACUAAAUGUCUCUCUCCAACCCCCCCCCCCCCCCCAACUUUCUCCCUUAUUCUAUCUUUCUCUUUCUCUUACUCUGCCUCUCUCCUUAAGCAGAGAUUGUUUUCUGAUUGCUGAAGAGGUAAUCAGGUGCCUGAAGGGAGAGGAAAAUGCACUUCCACAAAAUGCCAUCACAACUGUGUGUGUGUGUGUGUGUGUGUGUGAGGGGGGGGGGGGGAGGGUGGCUUCCAUCUGUCUUUUCCAUCUGCAAAAUUACACUUCAGAUUUUGGCCUGUGGUAAGUUUCACCUGCCUUCCCCUCAAUUACUGUUGGGACAUUUAAGUUAGUGAGAAUGUGAAUGAGGUGUCUGGAUUCUUUGGUGUCUGGCACAUUCUAUCAAACGCCAAGCCUCUCAACCAAGAGCACAGCUGGCUCUUUCUCCAAAGAAAUGACUCAUAGACAAAUAUUGACCCAUUGGUAGUACUCUUUUGCAAAUCCUAUUUCCAAAGCAGAAGUGGCUGAGAUGAAGAAAUACAGUAUUUGCCAUUUUAGCAGCUUGCUAUUUGCAGUCUGGAUAUAGAAAAUGUCCUGGCAUUUCCCAGGAAAAUCUAAUGAAACUAGGAAAAUGGUAACACAAAUUAUCAUUCAUUUCCAAUGGAAAUGGUUCUCAUUAUCAUUCUGAACUGAGAUUGCAUAGGGACAUUAAACAUUGUACUGAGAAAUGCCAGGUGUGAUAACGUCACCCAUUAUGCGGUUGACUGGGUUGAUAACCAUCCCGCCACGUAAUCAGCCUGCAGGCACGGAUUUAAUCAAUCUCAACUCUAACAAUCCUAACAGUCCAACUUUUUCUUCUCCUCAAAGGCCUCUGCCUCACUGUGGCCCUAGCGUCUCCUGAAGACAGAGGUGGUGGCUGAGCAAACCUGUCCCUGCUCGGGUCUGUAGAAAGUCUGUUGAGGUUAAUUACAGAAAUAGCGUCUCACCAACUGAUGGUCAAUUAGGCUAUGUAACAAUGAGUCACCUUGGACAACAGGAGAUUGGUCUGGAGCUGAAGCUGAGGGUUGCCAUGGGGAUACUGUGGGCUCUGAGAGAUGACCCUCAGGUCUUGUCUUCCUGCGGCUAAAUUGGCACAUCCAUCCUGGGUGACAGUCCCUUUGAAAUGUAGCCAUCAUGGCCAGGAUCAGUCAGCGGAUUGCAUCUUGCCCUGUCAAGUCUGGAGGGGGAUCAAUGUGUGCAGUGCAAAUGUGUGCAGUGCUGGUGUUGUCACAUAUCUAACGGGCAAGUUUCAGCUUUCAGUAGUUUCCCCUCUGCCAUAACAUCCAGACUUUUCUCUGCUUUCUCCAUGGAUAUGCAGUGCAAAGACACAUACAUUUGUGUGGAAUGCUCCAGAGAGAGGCUGGCAAGCUCUGGCAGAAAUCUCUGUGAGUAAUGCCACUAGAUAACCAAUUUUCGCAAAAGUGACCACUCUCCCUGAUCCCCCCCACCCCCUCCUUUCCCCUGCAAAUCCCCCAUAGACACGGCUAGAGACGGACAGAGGUCGUUUGUCAUUGUGAGCAUUCGCGUUUCCUCUUAUCUGAGACAGCAAGGGAGAGAGAGAGAGCGAGAGGUCAAGAGAGAUAUUUGGAGACGGGGAAAGAGGACAACAGACAUGGGCGAGACAAGGACAGGGGUGGGGACGGCGGUGUCUGUGUGUGUGUGUGGGUGAGGGUGUCACUGACACAUGAUGGGACUUGUCCAGCCUCCCACCUGACAGGCAGGGUCCCAUCCUCGGCCAUCCACUAAUGAAGAUUAAAGUAGGCUUCCUCAUGCUAAGCCCCGCUAAUUAACCAAUCAGCCGGACGGACAGCUCUGACGCGAGUCAACAGCGACGGGCAGACAGCAAUAGGAGAGGAACGCGCCGGCCGCCAGGGCCAGCGAAUGGGAUUGUGUAAUUGCGAUGGUAAUGGAUUCUGUCAGGGGUACCUGUCAGGGAGCCGGCUGCAAACUCGCAAAAAUAAGAGGGGGAAGGGGGGGAUUAACAUGGGGGUGCAGAUGGAGUCUAAGUGGCCCCCCACCCUUACCAUCUCCUCUCAGCCAGGCCCAUCUGAUUGCCAAUUUGUGCCAGUCGCCGUGCAUCACAGCGCCGCCGGAUAAGAUGGGGUGGGGGGGGGGGGUGACGGCAGCGGCCUUUUUUUUUUUUUCACUCCGGCCAACGGUGCCGACGAGACGGCAAAAGUGUGUGUCAGAGGGAAUAAAUGAGGCGGGCGGCCGAGAUUGAGAGACGGGCAAGAUUUUCGGCUUUAAUUUUCCAGUUUCGAGGAAUGCACCAGUGAUUUUUUUUCUCCCGUCUGUGUGGGCGGAGAGGCGCUCCGCCGACCGAGCGUUAUCAGAUGGUGCUCUCUCUGCCACGCUUGGCAGCCCCACCAGAUUAAUGAGAGAGAGGGAGAGAUGGUGAAAAUCUUCUCUUAACACAGGAAAUGGAGCUAAGAUGCUUGAGACACUCUUUAGAUGUGAGCGAGUAGGAGAUCAGGCUCAAUGGAACAUGACAGAGUUCCUAUUUCACGUGUUCCAGGUGCCUGAUCCCGACAGCGCAGCUGUAAGCUACUGUUUUUUUCCCAACUAGUGGUUGUCUGCUGUUAGAAUUUGGCAAUUACAAUCAAGUCGUAAAAAUUGUUUGGAUGAUGAAUUCAUUGAUCACAUUCAUUUAUAAGACUGUUUAAAAGAAAGUAUCAGGAAUCUCACUCUGUUCAAGUGAAAGAGUUGUGAUCAUCUGAACAAGGCACAGCAUCAGUACAAUCACAUUGAAAAUCUGUGGGCUGAUGAUCAAAUCCUUUAUUGUUUAUUAUACAUACAUAGUAUACAACAAUUGAAGGCUCAAAUAUCAUGAUCGUAGUAUAAUAUCGUAAUACUCCCAACAACAGGAUGUGAUGGUGCUCUACAUAAUAUAUGCAGUGGGUUUAAAGAUAUUAAAGUCUUAAUAGACAUUAACAACACACUAACAUUGCAUUCAUGACAUAAACAUGAGACGAUGUAUCCAGUAUGAUCCCAUGUUGGAUCCAUCCCAAAAAUUUGGAACACAUGUCUACAACUUUAUGUAUUUUAUCUUUAGUCCAGUGUUUCUUAAACGUUUUCUGACCAAGGACCACUUAACCAAUAAAAAAAAAACUCACGGACCACCUAGCUAAAAAAAAAAGGAGU